GCUACUGCAGAUAAUACCAAAAUAAACUAGAGAUAACAAACGACACUCCUACAGACAUGUCUAUUCCGGGGACGGGGAGGUUCAGGAAGAAGCUACGGCGCCACAGCAACCAGCAGGUACCCCAUUAACCUGAACUGCCUUCUUGGAGGUGGCGCUCCCUUGAAGCUGCUGCGCUUUGGCACACGCGACUUGCUGAUUCACCUAAACUUUGGCUUCUUGGAGGGCGGCGCUCCCUUGAAGCUGCUGCGUUCAGGUGCACGUGACUUGCUGAAGGUCUUCGCCUUGCGGCGCCUCCUCUCUUCCUCACUGUCCGACUCUGCACCGUGCUCACGGUCCGCAUUGCUUGCCUCGCGCUCCAGCUCCUCCCAGG
This 370-nucleotide long non-coding RNA is filed under the name Sorghum bicolor (sorghum). Its description in RNAcentral is "long non-coding RNA (SBIC_LNC000038)". The record is from RNAcentral. Lineage: Eukaryota; Viridiplantae; Streptophyta; Magnoliopsida; Poales; Poaceae.